UUCAGACAGUUUUAGUCUCUGUUCUCAGCCUGAAGGAGUUAAAUCUGCAAUUUCUGCAUUAUCAGCAAACACAACAACCAGCAAGAACAUUCAGCAGUCAGAGGGAUUCCUCCAUGAAAUCCAGUAUUUCCAACAGACUGUGGAAGGUCAUAUUGUGCAACAAAGACUUGGCAAUUCAAGCCUGAGCAGGCUCAAGUCCUAAAUCUCAUCCAACAGUGAAGAGCAUCUACAACUAGAUGAGCAAUUUAGGACUCUCUAAGGAUACAAUCACCUAGGAUGCAGCCUUACUAGAAACAGGAAGGAAAAAAUAUGUUAUCCUCAAUUUAUUCUAAAAAAGAAAGUCAGGAGAUCAAAGCAAAUUAGAUUAUAAGAAGAUCCUAUUGAUACUAAAGAGCCACCUGCCACUGCAAACACCAUGUGUACAAAGGCAAAGGCACACAAGCUGGAACGAAAAGAGAAGCAGCAGCAGAGCUACUUGUGACCUAAGCAGCAAGCCCUCACUAAAGUCCCUGAGGUAAAACCGCAGUGAAACAACACGGAUUUCUGCCAUAUCACCUGGGUAGAAAGGCCAACAGAAAUACUUGUGACACAGCGUGAUUUUCUAAAGCACUGCAUUCACUGCAGCGCAUUUCUGAGUUUCUGCUAAGAGGCGUGCAGGCCAUGUCCAAGGAGCCAGCAGACGAGCCCUGGGAGCAGUGUCCAGGGCUGCCCCUGCAGCCGGGCUGCCCCUGCAGCCGGGCUGCCCUGCUGCAUUGCAGCACCCAGCUGCAGCGCU
This is a long non-coding RNA of Passer domesticus (house sparrow), 775 nucleotides long. RefSeq lists it as uncharacterized. NCBI's taxonomy places the organism in Eukaryota, Metazoa, Chordata, Aves, Passeriformes, Passeridae. The record is from RefSeq and is a predicted model, not a curated record. The transcript is spliced from 4 exons.